AUGGAGCAGAGGCUGCGGAUGGCGCGAAUCUGGGUGGCCAACCCUAGCACCGCCCAUCACUGGACUCAUGGCUUCGGUGAAAUGUUUGAGCUGAAGCUCUGCAGUUCAGAUGUAACAUACCUGAAUAUGAUUGCAGUGAUGGAAACCCAAGGAUUUAGUGAAUAUGAUCUGCUGUUUCACAUUGAGAAUCCACAUUUAGGGGAGAAAGGAUUGGAGAUGGUAGAGAGUGAUGCUGAGUUGCAAUUAGUAAAGAGGCAGGUUGAGGAGUGUAAGGUUAUAAAUUUGCUAGUGAGGGCAUGUCCACCUCCUUGCAGCCAGUUUGGGAGGCAAGAAUUAUCCACUGUUGUGUAUGAAGAGCCUGUGUUAUAUGGUCUCAGUGAGCCUCCCAUCUAUGUUGUUGAUGAAGGAGGAGUUGCCUUUGAAAUUCAGAGUAGCAGCUACAGUGUAGCUCAUGGUACUGGUGUUUGCACACAAGAGAGCAAGAAUGUAAAAGGAAAACUGAAAGCUGUUUUGGAAAUAGAAGAAGAAGAGGGAUAUGAUGGCAGUGGUGGUUCUGAUUGUGAAGAAGAGGAAGAAACAGAUGAUGAAGAAUAUGAGGAGGAAGAACUGGUGCAUUAUGAGGGUGACACAGAGGUUGAGGAACCUUUUCAAAUGGAUGAAGAUGACAAAGUUGUUUCGCAGGAUGAAGAAACUGUAAUUGUACAUGAAGAGAAGAAGAAGAAGAAACAGAAGCUUCCAGUUAGGAAAGGGCCUACAACAAGGACACAUUCAAGUGUAGUUCAAGAGGAGGAACCUGAUUUCAAACCUUCAUCUGAUGAAGAAGAGAAAGGAUUGUUGAAGGAGGCUGAUGAUGAUGGUUUUGAGCCAUUGUCAUUUGUGCUGCCAAAGAAAAGGAAGAGCAGGGAAAAGCAGAGGCGUCCUAGAAAAUGGUACAAUGAGAAAAUGGAGGCACCACAUGAGCAAUUAUGUCUAAAGAUGUGUUUCUUGGAUCAACAUCAAUUCAGAGAGGCUUUGUUGAACUUACACAUCACUCAAGGCAGAAACUUCAAAUAUCACAGGAACUCAGAUCAAAGAAUAAUUGUAGAAUGCAACCAAAAACAUUGCAACUUCUUUAUGGUGGCAGCAGUUAUAAAAGGUGAAACUACUUUUGUAAUUAAGAAGAUGAGAAUUAAGCACACUUGCCCUAUUAGUAAAGAGACAACAAGGGUAAGUGCCAAGUGGCUUGCACAGAAGUAUGAGUCACUAUUCAGAUCUGAUCUAACAAUUGGCAUUCAGACUUUGAUUGAUGCCUGCAUGGAGAAGUAUGGUGUGGAUGUGCCCAAGUCAAUGGCAUAUAGGGCAAAGAACCUAGCUAUUGAUGAUGUGCUAGGAGACCACAAGAAGCAAUACCCUAGGUUGAAAGACUAUGCUCAGACAGUGAUGGAUACAAACCCUGGGAGUAGAGUAGUAUUCACUACUGUAACUCCAACACCCACUGAAAAAAUCCCCCAUCCAGGUCCAAGAUUCCAUGCUAUGUUCUAUUGCAUCAAUGGAGCAAGGGAGGGGUUUCUCAAGGGGUGCAGACCAUUCAUUGGUGUUGAUGGGUGCUUCAUUAAGUUAACUACUGGUGCUCAACUACUUGCUGCCACUGGUAGAGAUGGCAACAACAAUAUAUACCCACUAGCAUUUGGUAUUGUUUGGCAAGAGGACACACCUAACAGGCAUAUCUAUGCAAACUUCCAAAAUGCUGGGUUUAGGGGGGAAGAUCUGAAGAAGGGUAUGGAUAAUGCUGCCUAUGCAUAUAGUGAACACAAAUUUAAUAUUGCAAUGAAUGACCUUAGAGCUGAAUGUGAGGAAGCUUGGGAGUGGCUUUGUCAAAUACCCAAGAAAACAUGGGCAAGGCAUGCAUUGGACACAAACUGCAAGACUGACCUUGUAGUUAACAAUUUGUCUGAGGUGUUCAACAAGUAUGUCCUAGAUGUUAGGAAGAAACCAAUUAGGACAAUGUGUGAUGGAAUAAAGGAUAAGCAGAUGAUGAGGUGGCAUAGGAAUAGGGAGAGUGGAAAGAAAGCUAGAUGGGACAUAACACCCCAUUAUAGUGAGAAGCUAGCGAUUGAGAAGGAGAUGGCCAAAUAUUGCAAACCAAUUCAAGCUGUUGUGGACUUGUGCCAAGUUACAAGUGGGCAGCAAACCCAUGCUGUUAACUUGCAAGUGCACACAUAGGAUUAUGUCAGCAAGUUCUUCAAGAAAGAAUUUUAUGUGGCAGCUUAUAAACAAAUGAUCUAUCCAGUUCCUGGUGAGCAUGACUGGACAAAGACCCCUGGUCCAGACAUUGACCCACCUGCAUUUAAAGUGAAGAGAGGAAGAAGGAAAGAGAAGAGGAUCAAAGGGAGAUUAGAAUUUCCAAAGCCUAAGGACACAUCAAGAAUGGGGACUAUAACAUGUGGCAAUUGUGGACUGCAAGGACAUAGGAAUUCCAAUGGUGGUGGUGCUGCUACUACACCAGCAGCAAGAACUUCUCAUCCAGGUCCUACAACAACACCAAUAGCUGGAAUAGGAGGUGCUGGGAGAGGAGCUGGGAGAGGUGCUGCAGCUGCAGGUGCUGGGAGAGCUGCUGAGAGAGGUGCUGGUAGAGGUGCUGGGAGAGGUGCUGGGAGAGUGAGAGGUACAUUCUCUUGCCCAAGGCCAUCUGGUCCCUCCACAUCUACUGCUCCCUCCACAUCUACUACUGGGAGAGGUGCUGGUGGUAGAAAUAGUGGAUGGGGGAGGUACUUCUAUGCAAGUGGUAACUAG
RNAcentral lists this ribosomal RNA (2772 nucleotides) under Triticum aestivum (bread wheat). RNAcentral describes it as "partial small subunit ribosomal RNA". The record is from RNAcentral. Lineage: Eukaryota; Viridiplantae; Streptophyta; Magnoliopsida; Poales; Poaceae.